GACGAACGCUGGCGGCGCGCCUAACACAUGCAAGUCGAACGGAGAUGAUAAAAGCUUGCUUUGAUCAUCUUAGUGGCGGACGGGUGAGUAACACGUGAGCAACCUGCCUUUCAGAGGGGGAUAACGUUUGGAAACGAACGCUAAUACCGCAUAACGUGUACGGAUGGCAUCAACUGUAUACCAAAGGAGCAAUCCGCUGAAAGAUGGGCUCGCGUCCGAUUAGCUAGAUGGUGAGGUAACGGCUCACCAAGACGAUGAUGGGUAGCCGGCCUGAGAGGGCGAACGGCCACAAGGGGACUGAGACACGGCCCUU
RNAcentral lists this ribosomal RNA (313 nucleotides) under uncultured bacterium. Its description in RNAcentral is "bacterial SSU rRNA". It matches the Rfam family "Bacterial small subunit ribosomal RNA", at positions 28 to 334 of the family's 1533-position model. The record is from RNAcentral.